GGGUUCCUACGGGGGGCAGCAGUGGGGGAUAUUGCACAAUGGGGGGAACCCUGAUGCAGCGACGCCGCGUGGGUGAAGAAGCGCCUCGGCGCGUAAGCCCUGUCAGCAGGGAAGAAAAUGACGGUACCUGAAGAAGAAGCCCCGGCUAACUACGUGCCAGCAGCCGCGGUAAUACGUAGGGGGCAAGCGUUAUCCGGAAUUACUGGGUGUAAAGGGAGCGUAGACGGCAAUGCAAGUCCGGAGUGGA
Molecule: ribosomal RNA, 247 nt
Filed under: uncultured bacterium
Lineage: Bacteria
Description: partial 16S ribosomal RNA
Rfam family: Bacterial small subunit ribosomal RNA
Source: RNAcentral